AUGCUGCCCCUCUCCGUGCUGCAGAGGGCGCAGGCGGAGCUGGUCGAGUACCGCGGCUCCGGCAUGAGCAUCAUGGAGAUGAGCCACCGGGGCAAGGAGUUCGACGCGGCCAUCAAGAAGGCCGAGGCGGACCUGCAUGCGCUCCUCGCCGUGCCGGACACCCACGAGGUGCUCUUCCUCCAGGGCGGCGCCACCACGCAGUGCGUCGCCGCGCCGCUCAACCUCUGCGGCUCCACCUCGGACCCCGCCGACUUCGUCGUUUCCGGCUCCUGGAGCGACAAGGCCUUCAAGGAGGCCGGGAAGUACUCCGCCGCCUCCGUCGCCUGGUCCGGCAAGGCCACCAAGUACACCUCCCUGCCGGCGGACUUCGGGGCGCUCGCGCAGAACCCCGAGGCGCGCUUCCUCCACAUCUGCUCCAACGAGACCAUCCACGGCGUGGAGUUAAAGGACUACCCGGAGCCGAUGAACGAGUCGGGCGUCCUCGUCGCCGACAUGUCCUCCAACUUCUGCUCCAAGCCCGUCGACGUCUCCCGGUUCGGCCUCGUCUACGCCGCCGCGCAGAAGAACGUCCGGCGCUCGGAUACGAUGCAGCCAGGGGCACGAAUCGCAUCACGCAGCAGCAGCGUGUUAGAAUUAAUGGGCUAG
This 645-nucleotide ribosomal RNA is filed under the name Triticum aestivum (bread wheat). RNAcentral's name for it is "partial small subunit ribosomal RNA". Lineage: Eukaryota; Viridiplantae; Streptophyta; Magnoliopsida; Poales; Poaceae. The record is from RNAcentral.